UUCUCUCCAUCCAACUCUGGCUUCCAGUUGAAACAAGCUAAUUAAGUUGGAUAUCAAAUAAUUUCACCAGUACUUACCCAGCAGAUAUGGGAGCCAUUAAAGGAUGAUGCCAAGAUUCCUAUCAGAAAAAGGAAGCUUAUCCUGCAUUUCAACUCUGAAUCUCUCAAGACGCCCAGGCAGGAAGACCCUGAAAGGAAGAACUGUUAAAUAAUAGACAGUUUUCUGAUAUUGAGUGCAGUCUUGCCCAAGCUGGUUAUCUUCUAAGAUGUUGGGCAGCACCUCUGGGAGUUCUGAGUUGCAGUUCUAACACUUCUGGCAAGAAGGAGAAUCAGAUUUACCAGAACCUGCUGCCCCAGAUUGCAAGAACUGAUUGCCUUUGAAUAAAGAAGAUACUCAUAGUCCUCCUUUA
Long non-coding RNA from Pantherophis guttatus, 409 nucleotides. RefSeq lists it as uncharacterized. The record is from RefSeq and is a predicted model, not a curated record. Lineage: Eukaryota; Metazoa; Chordata; Lepidosauria; Squamata; Colubridae.